CCCUUAGAUGUUCUGGGCCGCACGUGCGCUACACUGACGAAUGCAACGAGCUUAUAACCUUGGCCGAAAGGUCUGGGUAAUCUCCAAAUUUCGUCGUGAUGGGGAUAGAUUAUUGCAAUUAUUAAUCUUCAACGAGGAAUGCCUAGUAAGCGCAAGUCAUCAGCUUGCGUUGAUUACGUCCCUGCCCUUUGUACACACCGCCCGUCGCUCCUACCGAUUGAAUGGUCCGGUGAAGCGUUCGGACCGUGGCCUUUGGACGGUUCGCCGUCUGUUGGCUGCGGGAAGUUCGUUAAACCUUAUCAUUUAGAGGAAGGAGAAGUCGUAACA
This 327-nucleotide ribosomal RNA is filed under the name uncultured eukaryote. RNAcentral describes it as "partial 18S ribosomal RNA". It matches the Rfam family "Eukaryotic small subunit ribosomal RNA", at positions 1470 to 1796 of the family's 1831-position model. The record is from RNAcentral.